This 179-nucleotide unclassified non-coding RNA is filed under the name Allobrachymonas denitrificans DSM 15123. RNAcentral's name for it is "Brachymonas denitrificans DSM 15123 6S / SsrS RNA". Lineage: Bacteria; Pseudomonadati; Pseudomonadota; Betaproteobacteria; Burkholderiales; Comamonadaceae. The record is from RNAcentral.
AGGCGUCUGCAGCGAGCUUGGCUUUAUAUUUCCUUGAACCAAUGCUCUCUGAGCCCGGGCUUGGUAGAUCGCUCGGCCAGCGUGAUCAUCUCGCGUUAGAUGAACCCAAGGCCUUGCUGCCCUCGCCCACCUGAACCCCUCCGUUCAGGAUGACGGUCAAGUUCCGCUGCAGACACCUA